This 426-nucleotide ribosomal RNA is filed under the name uncultured bacterium. Its description in RNAcentral is "bacterial SSU rRNA". It matches the Rfam family "Bacterial small subunit ribosomal RNA", at positions 506 to 930 of the family's 1533-position model. The record is from RNAcentral.
UGCCAGCAGCCGCGGUAAAACGUAGGAGCCAAGCGUUAUCCGAAUUCACUGGGCGUAAAGCGUGUGCAGGCGGUCAGAUAAGUUGGAUGUGAAAUCUCCUGGCUCAACUGGGAGAGGCCGUUCAAUACUGUCAGACUAGAGGACAACAGAGGGAAGUGGAAUUCCGGGUGUAGUGGUGAAAUGCGUAGAUAUCCGGAGGAACACCAGUGGCGAAAGCGGCUUCCUGGGUUGUAUCUGACGCUCAGACACGAAAGCUAGGGUAGCGAACGGGAUUAGAAACCCCGGUAGUCCUAGCCGUAAACGAUGUAGACUUGGUGUCGGCGGGGUAAAAGCCGUCGGUGCCGAAGCCAACGCGAUAAGUCUACCGCCUGGGGACUACGGCCGCAAGGUUAAAACUCAAAGGAAUUGACGGGGGCCCGCACAAGU